Molecule: non-coding RNA, 523 nt
Organism: Paramuricea clavata
Lineage: Eukaryota; Metazoa; Cnidaria; Anthozoa; Malacalcyonacea; Plexauridae
Source: the annotation of a GenBank genome assembly
CGACGAUUUGGACCCGCUAUGCAAAUUUCACCUCAUCAUUAUUCACUUCUUUAGAAAUUAUAACAUUGUACCAGACUACUGUAACUACAUACUUACUGAAAUUUAAGACUGUUGAAGAAUAUUUAUUGUCUAUCACCAUUACAUAAUCUACACAUCAACUGGAAAUGCAUGCAGAUGCACCUACUUUCAAAUUGGCAUUUUACUCCGUCUAAAGCAAUAAAAUUUUACUCAGUGGAAGAAUACUGCUGUUAAUCGGUUAUUAACAACUAUUGAUAUCCACCCUGGGAUGGUUGUUCAUUAAAUUUGGGAUUUGCAGGGUGAAGUUCUUCAAUUGGCAGAUCUCUGACCUCACUCUGAGAGAACUGACUAGUCGUGAAAUUGGCAUGCAAAAUUGUAUGGCCUAUUGGCUCUGGGUUGAACACUUGUAGAUACUUAUAGAUACUGAAUUUAAAUACACUGGAAAUAGCAAAUUGUAUACAUUGACUGGAAAUGUACAAGUUUAAUAUUCAAAGAAGAUUCUAAA